GGGGGGAGUGGUCGAAGGUGGGGCUAGCGAUUGGGACGAAGUCGUAACAAGGUAGCCGUACCGGAAGGUGCGGCUGGAUCACCUCCUUU
RNAcentral lists this non-coding RNA (89 nucleotides) under Winkia neuii BV029A5. RNAcentral's name for it is "Actinomyces neuii BVS029A5 Bacterial small subunit ribosomal RNA". It matches the Rfam family "Bacterial small subunit ribosomal RNA", at positions 1445 to 1533 of the family's 1533-position model. Lineage: Bacteria; Bacillati; Actinomycetota; Actinomycetes; Actinomycetales; Actinomycetaceae. The record is from Rfam by way of RNAcentral.